GUGUCAGCAGCCGCGGUAAUACGGAGGUGGCAAGCGUUGUUCGGAAUUACUGGGCGUAAAGGGCGCGUAGGCGGCCAGACAAGUCAGAUGUGAAAGCCCCGGGCUCAACUCGGGAAUUGCAUCUGAAACUGUAUGGCUUGAGUUCUGGAGGGGGUAGUGGAAUUCCCAGUGUAGCGGUGAAAUGCGUAGAUAUUGGGAGGAACACCUGCGGCGAAGGCGGCUACCUGGACAGAGACUGACGCUGAGGCGCGAAAGCUAGGGGAGCAAACGGGAUUAGAUACCCUCGUAGUCC
This 292-nucleotide ribosomal RNA is filed under the name uncultured bacterium. Its description in RNAcentral is "partial 16S ribosomal RNA". It matches the Rfam family "Bacterial small subunit ribosomal RNA", at positions 505 to 796 of the family's 1533-position model. The record is from RNAcentral.